GACGAACGCUGGCGGCGUGCUUAACACAUGCAAGUCGAACGGAAAGGCCCUGCUUUUGUGGGGUGCUCGAGUGGCGAACGGGUGAGUAACACGUGAGUAACCUGCCCUUGACUUUGGGAUAACUUCAGGAAACUGGGGCUAAUACCGGAUAGGAGCUCCUGCUGCAUGGUGGGGGUUGGAAAGUUUCGGCGGUUGGGGAUGUACUCGCGGCUUAUCAGCUUGUUGGUGGGGUAGUGGCUUACCAAGGCUUUGACGGGUAGCCGGCCUGAGAGGGUGAACGGCCACCUUGGGACUGCGAUACGGACCAGACGCCUACGGGAGGCAGCAGUGGGGAAUAUUGCACAAUGGGCGGAAGCCUGAUGCAGCAACGCCGCGUGCGGGAUGACGGCCUUCGGGUUGUAAACCGCUUUCGCCUGUGACGAAGCGUGAGUGACGGUAAUGAGUAAAGAAGCACCGGCUAACUACGUG
This 468-nucleotide ribosomal RNA is filed under the name uncultured bacterium. RNAcentral describes it as "partial 16S ribosomal RNA". It matches the Rfam family "Bacterial small subunit ribosomal RNA", at positions 28 to 507 of the family's 1533-position model. The record is from RNAcentral.